RNAcentral lists this ribosomal RNA (442 nucleotides) under uncultured bacterium. RNAcentral's name for it is "partial 16S ribosomal RNA". It matches the Rfam family "Bacterial small subunit ribosomal RNA", at positions 338 to 795 of the family's 1533-position model. The record is from RNAcentral.
CCUACGGGGGGCAGCAGUGGGGAAUAUUGGGCAAUGGACGCAAGCCUGACCCAGCAACGCCGCGUGAAGGAAGAAGGCUUUCGGGUUGUAAACUUCUUUUAAGGGGGAAGAGCAGAAGACGGUACCCCUUGAAUAAGCCACGGCUAAUUACGUGCCAGCAGCUGCGGUAAUACGUAGGUGGCAAGCGUUGUCCGGAUUUACUGGGUGUAAAGGGCGUGCAGCCGGAGAGACAAGUCAGAUGUGAAAUCCACGGGCUCAACCCGUGAACUGCAUUUGAAACUGUUUCCCUUGAGUGUCGGAGAGGUAAUCGGAAUUCCUUGUGUAGCGGUGAAAUGCGUAGAUAUAAGGAAGAACACCAGUGGCGAAGGCGGAUUACUGGACGAUAACUGACGGUGAGGCUCGAAAGCGUGGGGAGCAAACAGGAUUAGAUACCCGUGUAGUC